RNAcentral lists this non-coding RNA (71 nucleotides) under human gut metagenome. RNAcentral describes it as "skipping-rope RNA". It matches the Rfam family "skipping-rope RNA", at positions 9 to 75 of the family's 80-position model. Rfam says of the family: Firmicutes, Fusobacteria, AlphaProteobacteria, Spirochaetes. Downstream gene The record is from RNAcentral.
AGGAUGGAAAUGGCUCCCAUCGCGCCUCCGCAGGGAGGAACCUGAGAUGCAGGAUACGCCGGCCCACCGAC